Molecule: small nuclear RNA, 95 nt
Filed under: Macaca fascicularis (crab-eating macaque)
Lineage: Eukaryota; Metazoa; Chordata; Mammalia; Primates; Cercopithecidae
Source: RNAcentral
CGAGACUCCGUCUCAAAAAAAAAUAGAUACAGAGAAGAUUAGCAUGGUCCCUGUGCAAGGAUGACACGCAAAUUUGUAAAGUGUUCCAUAAAAAG